This is a non-coding RNA of Anas platyrhynchos (mallard), 1017 nucleotides long. The record is from RefSeq and is a predicted model, not a curated record. NCBI's taxonomy places the organism in Eukaryota, Metazoa, Chordata, Aves, Anseriformes, Anatidae.
CUGCUUGCCUUUUUGCAGGCAACCAAGAAGCAAGGCUAGUGAACCCCUUUAGUGCAGCCUCAGCAAACAUGAAUUUGAUUAUAGAAACAUGAGAAGUCCACAGGGCUCUGUAGUAUUGUCUCCCCUGGCUGUGUCUAAGACAGGCACAGAGAAGAACUUGCACUUCUUCCCUGUAAAACCCUUUCAAAUUAUACAGUGGUUAGCUGAAAUACCUAAAUAGCCUUUGGCACAAGGACAAGAACCAGGACUCACAUGAAUCUCAUUGUUGUUUCUUCUUCGUGCUAUUAUGUCCUGGAUUUUGAAAACUGAAUAUGGGCCAUCUUUAUCUUUCCUCCUCUGGCCUUUGGCAUUUUCCCAUUCACAGUGCUCCAGUGGGUGACAAAGGCCACACUUCUGACAGGACUGCCCUAUGGGGUCAGGAUGGUGCAACGAGGCAGUAAGCCCUGUUGCAUGACUCCAGCUGAUUACACGACACAGGUCUGAAAACUUACUGCAGCUUGCCAUGGUCUUCUGUGCAUCAGUGGGACACUUACAGAGGGACAAUGAACCCAGAUGUCUCAACAUUCAAAAGCCAACCUGCACUCUCCUCUUUAUAGUGGUUUCCAGGAGACAGAUACUGCCAGAGUACUCGUGUGUUUUCCUGGUUAUGACUUCAUCCCAUCCUUCUUCAGACAGAAGAGAAAGGCCAGCAUCUUUGUCUUGAUAACUCUUCUUACCUGGAAAGAGCCAAGGCAGACUGAGUGAUUUCUACUGCCCCUCUACCAAAACAGUAGCUUUUACUGAGUCUAAAUAAACUGUCAUGAUGAAGGCCAAUGCAGAUUAUUGUAUUCUUUGUUAUCACACAGUUUAUUAAAGGACCACUGCACUGCAAUUAUGGAAUGAGUAAAUCUGUGGGCAGCCAUCUGGGAUGCUUGAGAUGAGUCUCCAGUGCUCUUGCUGUGCCCAGGCCUGAGCCAAAUGUCACUGACAGCCAACAGGAGCAGCUACUUCAGUGGAAUAAAGAUUGCUUUAAUCAGG